This is a long non-coding RNA of Myotis davidii, 1856 nucleotides long. RefSeq lists it as uncharacterized. Lineage: Eukaryota; Metazoa; Chordata; Mammalia; Chiroptera; Vespertilionidae. The transcript is spliced from 3 exons. The record is from RefSeq and is a predicted model, not a curated record.
CAGGGCGAAGGGCUGGCGCCCCCGAGUGGGUGUGGUCACGCUGCACACCAGUAGGCGGUGAUUGGCCCUGGGCGGUGCAAUCGCAACUUGUGCGUCACUACGCCGCCAGCUGAUCGGAGACUGGAGCCGGUGUGUGCUGGGCGCUGGGAAGAGAGCGCCGCCGGCUGUGGGGCACGGACGCACUGAUUUGCUCCCCUGUCCUCAGCACCCCCCGCACACACCCGGCACCAGGUGGGUGUGAGCUGGGGUCCUGGCCGCACUGGAGGGAACCGUGCUAACGGGGAGCCUGUACCUCCCACACCCUCACCUGGCUGAGCCGCAGUAGUUCUUCAGUGGCAAGCUUUAUGUCCUGACCCAGCUAAAGCUGCCAGUUGAAGAACUGUUGCCCUCUGCCGCUGGCUUCAAGGAGGAGAAGGAGCUGCUUUCCCGCUCAUCUGGAAGGUGACAGAACUGGGGCUGGGAAGGUCUGAACAGCAGGAGUGAUGAUGGUGAGGUCCAGAAGUAAGCUUGCCUCUUCCUGCCAUCUCAGUAGUCAUACCUCGGCUCUUACCUUUCCCUGCAUAUCCUUAGACUGGCCCAGACUCUAGAUUCGGGGUUACUUACCUAUAUGUGGCACCCUUAGACAUCUGGUCUCAGCUUCUCCUCCUACUUGUGGUAUGGAGAAAUCACCCAGUUGAGUGUGCCUGAGGGAAUCGGAAGCCCAUUUGUGCAGACUCAGCUUGGGGUGGGAACAGAACAGCUUUUCACUUAAGCUAUUGCCCCUCCCCCUCCCUGACAAUAACCCCAGGGAUUGGGGGUUGGAGGGUUAAAGGGGCUCAGUCUCUACAUUGACUUCUCAUCAUGCUAGGGUGGCCCCAGGCAUCCUCUGCCACCCAUAAUAAGACGGCGGCCCCUGAUGGCUACCACUGCUCUUCUUCCUCACUUUGCUUUCCAGGAUGGUGUGUGAAACUCAACUCAGGCCUGUGCAGGCAGAAAAAUUCUCCCCUCCAGCAACCAGCAGAACUGAGUUCUGGGACUCAACCCCCCUUUGGGGCAACAGGCAGUGUAAACCUGCCACCCCCAGCUCCUGAUCCAAUCUCACUCUUUGGCUUAGGCUCUGGUGUGGUUCAGCCUUGGCCUAGAAUCCCUGCCUGAAGGUGGCUGCCUUCAGGGGCUGCAGGAAGCUGUUUGUUCUAUUUGGGGGGAAGAGGAGCCGGGUCCUAUUACCCAUUUAUGAGAAACUCAAAGAUUUGGGGAGAGUAGACCAUUGAACCCAGCUCUUCCACAGCUUAAGCCGAAUGUGUGUGGGACUGUGGUAGAAGGGGGUGGGUAGACUGAGUCCACUCAACAAAGAUCACUCUGUCCCUGGACAUUGCUUCCAUCCUUUCUCCCCCUCCUCGCUUCACUGGCCACAGUGUUUCCUUCCAGCCUGGGUGUGUGGCUCUGCCAUCCUCACCUAUCAUGGAGCAGAGAUGAGGAGGAGCAUCCUGGGAACACAGAGGCAGGCGGAAGACCAGUGAAGGACAAAGCCUGGGGAGCACAGGAUCUGUCUGGGCACCUUGCAGAGGGGGGCCUAAAGGCCAGGAGCACCCCAGGAAGAGGGAGGACAGCCAGCCUCCAGCAAGGACAAGCUUCCAGGCAUCUUCAAUCUCCACCUCCUUCAGAGAUGUGGGACCAUAUUACAGUGUCCUGUGGCUUUGUCCUCCUCCUUCCACCUCUCUCCCACCUUGUAAUUUACGUAUAAGCAGCUUCAAGGAACAAGAGCCAGCUGUGAAAGGACAUACACAGGAAAUUCAUAGAAGAAAUGCAAAUGGAUAAAACCAUGACAACAAAUGUGUACUUCAUUAGUAAUUAAAGAGAGGCAAAUACAGCUGUAA